AAUAAACGAAUUUACGUGUUUUGAAUAGAAUUUUUGACUCUUCGUCUUAUUUGAAAAUUUUUUAUAAUUAAUAUUUUUAUUAUUACUACAUGAUAAAACAUAAAUAAUACUUUAGAUACAACUAAUUUUUUUUUAUUUUUUAAUAAAUUUUUAAAUAAGACGGAUGAUCAAACGGUCGAUAUAGAAAACCUACA
Molecule: microRNA precursor, 194 nt
Filed under: Oryza brachyantha (malo sina)
Lineage: Eukaryota; Viridiplantae; Streptophyta; Magnoliopsida; Poales; Poaceae
Description: MIR812 microRNA precursor family
Rfam family: MIR812 microRNA precursor family
Source: Rfam by way of RNAcentral